UUCGGCAUGCCUUUAUUUCUUCAGAAAAGCGCAACAAAUUAUAUUAUAUGUCGUUAAAAGUUCAACAUCUUACUCCUCUAAAACGUAAAUUCGCAUGCGGAUACCAAAGUUGUUGUAUUUACGGAAGGACAAAAUGAGCACAACCGGGGCGUGCGUGAAAUUAGACAGUUCAACUUUGCCGCCCGAGUUAACGCUGGCAUAAGUGUACGGGGCGGGUGGGGGGAUGGAGGGCUGCCCCCUCUCCCUCUAAUUUUUGUCAAAGAGGGCAAAGUCGUACAAUUUUUGGUUGGGCGACAGGGGAGGUAUCACAAGCCGUUGGGCAAAAAGCGACCGCCUCCCUGAAAU
This is a non-coding RNA of Paramuricea clavata, 345 nucleotides long. The record is from the annotation of a GenBank genome assembly. Lineage: Eukaryota; Metazoa; Cnidaria; Anthozoa; Malacalcyonacea; Plexauridae.